This 372-nucleotide long non-coding RNA is filed under the name Vigna radiata. Its description in RNAcentral is "long non-coding RNA (VRAD_LNC001588)". Lineage: Eukaryota; Viridiplantae; Streptophyta; Magnoliopsida; Fabales; Fabaceae. The record is from RNAcentral.
ACCAUUUUAUUUUAUAAUGAGUAUUUUUUUAGUUGGGGCUAGUGCAGAACUGACCGAGAAAAUGUUUCAGUGAGAGAGAUGAAGGAGAAAGGGUUGAGAGGAAUGAAGGAGGUGAGUAAGAGUUUGAGGUUUUUUUUAGUUUUGAUAAUGAAAAUUAUUAAAAUAAGACAAAUGUUUCUGAUUUUUUUUCAAUUGGGGUCAGAGUAGGGAUUACAGAGAAAAAAUUUGGAGUAAAAGAGAUGAAAGAAAAAGAGUUGAAAAGAAUGAGGGGUGAGUAAGGGUUUGAGAGGUUUCUUUUUUUAUUUUUUUAUUUUUGAGAAUGAAAAUUAUUAAAAUAUCCUUAACCUUAAAACUUAGAAUUCAUGAUAUAAG